This 611-nucleotide ribosomal RNA is filed under the name Petrocephalus grandoculis. Its description in RNAcentral is "partial 16S ribosomal RNA". It matches the Rfam family "Bacterial large subunit ribosomal RNA", at positions 1814 to 2604 of the family's 2925-position model. The record is from RNAcentral. Lineage: Eukaryota; Metazoa; Chordata; Actinopteri; Osteoglossiformes; Mormyridae.
CAUGGCCUCUUGCAACCCACAAAUAAGAGGUCCAACCUGCCCAGUGACAAUAAGGUUAACGGCCGCGGUAUUUUAACCGUGCUAAGGUAGCGUAAUCACUUGUCUUUUAAAUGAAGACCCGUAUGAAAGGUGUCACGAGGGCCCUCCUGUCUCCUACUUCAAGUCUAUGAAAUUGAUCUGCCCGUGCAGAAGCGGGCAUACCCACAUAAGACGAGAAGACCCUGUGGAGCUUAAGACUACAACCAAUCAUGCCUAGUAACCUACCCUCCAAACGGCACAAAAGGUCCAAUAAGCUUAAUGACGAUGGUUUACUGUCUUCGGUUGGGGCGACCAUGGGGGACAGAAAAGCCCCCAAGAAGAAGCAGGGGACCAAUUACACCGAUCCCUAAGAGUUAAGAGCUACAACUCUAAACAACAGAAAUAUCUGACUAAUAAUGAUCCAGGUAACAAACCUGAUCAACGGACCAAGUUACCCCAGGGAUAACAGCGCAAUCCUUUCCCAGAGCCCAUAUCGCCGAAAGGGUUUACGACCUCGAUGUUGGAUCAGGACAUCCUGGUGGCGAAAAUUCUACCAAGGGUUCGUUUGUUCAACGAUUAAAGUCCUACGUGAU